Molecule: non-coding RNA, 12742 nt
Organism: Anas platyrhynchos (mallard)
Lineage: Eukaryota; Metazoa; Chordata; Aves; Anseriformes; Anatidae
Source: RefSeq, a predicted model, not a curated record
UUUGUGAUUAAUGCAACACUGAGUAAGAGUGGAAUCAGACCUAGUAUUUCCAAAAUGUAAAAUAUUAAUGACUGUAAUGAACAGUGUAAUUCUAAUGAAUAACAUUAGGGUGAGAGAUGCAAGCAGUUCGCAAUCUCAUGGCAAUCAAGAGUGACCAGCCUGCCAUCCGUCCACACUCCCAAGACUUUACCAAGCUUCUUGCACUCUGACAAUGUCUGAAAUAGGAGUGAAGGUGGUGGUUGUGCUAUCUAACACAGGUUUUGCAUAAGCCAGGCUCCAAACUGAGCAAAAGAGUUAAUGCCAGCUGAAUUCUGCAGUUGGGUGAUGGUUACUGAGUUUGUUUGUUUGUUUGUUUUUCUUUCACCUCCCUGUAAAUUCAGGAGAAGCUUAAGAAUAAUGUGGAAACUUGUUGAUGCUUUCUCAGUGCAGGCUGGUUGCUAUCUUGUCCAGGCAGGUUCUCAGAAACUCAUUGUAGAGGGGGAAUAUAAAAGCAGGUCUGCAUUAAGCAGCACUCAGCUUAACCUGAAUGGAGGACCUAACAAUGUAAAACCAGGUCAGUAGGGCUCCCGUUGUGGUCUGCAAACACAGGAAACUUUUUGUGUUGGACCAGCAAAAUGCAUUAGUCUAAAGCUGAUUGGGUUUAAGAGAGGAUUAUGCUUUAGACAUGUUACGGGCAAGACAAUGGGAAUGAGUUUGGGAGCUGGUAUUUAGUUUUGUAGGGAUGUUAUUAAUAACAGUCACACUUGGAACUGCGAUCAGGCUGAAAAGUGGUGUCCUUUAAAAAAUAAAAUUAAAACCAAAAUCUUUUUAGCCAACCUUCAGACUGCAGAACUGCUAACCUCUUGUAGCCAACCUGCAAAUUACUUCCAGCCUUGUGGCCAAGUAACCCUGACCCACUGGUGUGAUACCAGCACCUCCCUGUUUAGCACCAGCAAGGCAGAUAGAUCUUUACAGACAGCAGUCACUGGCUGGAGUUAGAACUGUAUCACUGCUUUAUGCUCUCUUAGGGUCUGGCAUCUCUGCUUCAGGAGCUUGUACAUUGGCAAAGCGCUCAACCCAAGCCUGCCAGCUCCAGAAGUGAAUGGUGACAAGCCGUCAUCUUCUGCAGUGCCCUGUCAUUCAGUCAGCUUUAAAAGGAAACCCCAGCCCGUGGGUUAGAAAGGACUUCUGUGCAUUUGAUCAUUGACUGACUAGGGAAAAGGAAGUGUAAUGGGAAUCUUUUUAACCUCUUUCAUAAAGUAAAUCAAGUUCUGUGCUGGUGUGGCUCCAUGAAGGCCACUGGGAUUAGCAGACUUGACUUUGUUUCACUUAAAUGGCAAAGGUAGAUUUCUAGUUUCGGUUGUGCCAUGUGGUUUCCUCACUCCAAAAUGUUCAGUGUUUCACAUCUCCAGCUCUCAGUUGGGUCUGGAGCCUUUAGCUGGAUAUGGGCCCAGUAGUGCUAGACACUGCACAAGCCAUUGUUGGGGAGGUUUUGUGUGUGCUGCUAAAAAAGCUUUUUUAACCUUUUAAAGCUCUUCACAGCUGGCUGGAUCUGCCCUCACCCUUCUGUUGGUGCAUGCCUGGUUCCUUGGGAGCUCUUUUGGCUUGCUAACCCAACGAAAAUUUGUCUUUUUCCUGAUUUAGCUCACCAAAGAGUUAGAGGAGUGCCAGAGUAAGAAGGAGUGUGUGACCUCAGACGGAUUUAGUCCUGUGAACCUAGCAGCUACAUGAAGAAGGCAGGUGAAGGCAGUUUUGUGCUUAUGGCAUAUUGACUUCAAUGGGGAAUUCUGCUUAAAACCUGAUGGCACAAAAGAUAACCCUGUAUUUUUAUGAAAGCAGGUGUAGGCAUUUAUAUUUCCACUGCCAGUCUUUCUCUUCUAGAGAAGCUUUGGAAGAGGAAAAUGAUGGGCAUUCCAGGUUGCCAUCUGGUGUAUUGCGAACAGUCUCAGAGAGUAAGAGGCCAUCUGUUAAUACUUUUUCAGGAAGCUUUUUAUAGAGCAGUGAAGUGGCAAAUCUCAAAAACACGUUGUAAUGACUUACAAGAUCUUGGCAACAAGAUUUCACUGGUGAUGCUUUGGAGCUUCCCUCUGUGGAACCAGUCCUGCUUCAAUGAAGAGUAAUAGCAAGAUCUUUUUCUCUUCAGUGGUUCAGAAUUUGAUGGUGGGAUAUCAAAAGUACCAUCCAGCAUCAGCCUUGAUUGCAGUAAUGGAUGAAGAACUGCUUGUGCUGGAGGAUACCGAAUUAGCAAGGAGCACCAUGUGUUCUUGUGGAUGUGCAUGAGAGAUGAAUAGAAGGAUAUGAAAACUUAUAUUUGACUGCCUGCAGGAUAAUUGUGUUAGUGCAUGAUAAUCCAGGACAUGGUUCAACCGUGGAGACUGAAAUUCUGAAAUGGUGGGGGAGCUGUGAAGUCAUACUAGACAAGUAGCAGAGAUGGAGAAGUCCCACCAGUAGUUUUAAGUUCAGUUCCUCUCCCACCUCCCAUUAAGCAGCAAAGCUCUUCUUACUCCUGGUGUGCUGCAAGGAACUGUGUUGCCUGCUGUGGUUAUGAAUCAAAGUUCUGCUCCAAAUCAGGCCAUUUAAUACUGCCUGGGAUGUGGGUACCACUGCAAUAGUCCCAAGAAACGCUCAUUUCAGUGUGGAAAAAAAUGCUGGACUUGUUGGCUGUCCCCAGUCCAGGUGAAGAGCUCUGCAGAAAUUACCUGAGGACUGAAUAUGGCACUUUUGCCAAAUUAUGAGGACUCGGCCAGGAGAUUGUGCCAUCCUGGGCGGAUGGAGGAAGGGGGAAGAGCACGAUGCCAUCCAUAGCCAUUACUUACUGGCAGGAGGAGGAGCUGGCCCUUCAUUACACUUAAAAUGGAGUUUGAUUCCUGGUAGUGGGUCAGUGGUGAUUAUACUGCUCAGAUAAAUGCAGGAAAGGAAGGACUGCCCAUCUGGGCUGACCAUGUGUGAGACACACAGCCCGACAGUGCAAAUGUUCAGGUAGGUGGAGCUGGUGGACUUCACCUGGCACUGGUGAGACUGGGUCAAACGUGAUGGGUGCUUCACAUGGUAAGAUGGGGGCUUAUUGUCCACAGGCUGGGUUCAGGGAAAACUUUCGUGUGAGGAGAAACUGAAGAGUCUGGCCCAGCUAAUAAGUGGAAUAAUUAAUAAAGGAAAUAUAAUAGUGUAUCAAAGUAAUGAGUAGCAUGAAAGCAGACACUGGCUGCUCCUGUUUACCCUUUCUCAAGCAGAUAUUGAAGCGAGAAGGUGCCACAUUUAAAACCAGCCGAAGACACUUGGGUUUGCAGAAACAAGCCCUGUGAUUAACCUGUCUCAUUUACUGCCUCGAGAUUUAAUUGAGGCCGCAAGCGUAGCAGUGUUCCAGAGAGGACCGGACAUUUACAGCAGUGCGACCACCCACAGCCGCUGGGCUGCUCACUGCGCUGCACCCCGGUGGCAGCAGCGGGGGCUGCUCAGCCAGAACACGAGCAGCCCCCCGGGAACGGGACCGGAGCAUCCUCAGCACCGGGGGCACCCCGCGGGGACGGGACCGGCGCCUGCAGCGCGGCCGCUGUGCAGCAGGGGGCGGCCCCGCUCCGCACCCCCCGCUCCGCACCCCCCGGUGCUGGGCGCCUGCAGGGAGCUGACCCGGGCAGGGCGCUGCAGUGAGCGCACCGGCAUUGCAGGCGUUUUGAGGUCUUUUUCUUUCUUUCUUACAUUUAUUUAUUUGUUUUAACGAAGCUCUGAUUUGCACUUGAUAACUUAGUUAGGAAUCUGCCGGAAACGAGAACUCUGAUGAAACUGAUUUUCCCCUUAGUGAUGUGUUUUGUCGAAAUAAAUUUAAAACAUUUUUAAAAAUUAGUGAUGAACCUCUGCUAUUCCUGCCCCCUGUCGUUUUAUUUCUACUGUUGUCUGAGUACUUUCAGGACCCGAGCAUUACCAGACUCUACCAGGAAUGACAGCUGACUCAGAGGCAAUAAGGCUUGCUGGAGGUACAUUUCAUGAGCAUUAAUUUGCAGCGAGGUCGGCAGGAGUUCCAAGAGUGCAGUAUUGCAGUUGUGAGACCUGAACAGCAACACAAAUGCUGUCUGGGAGGCCAGGUGUCCAAAAUGAGUGUUAACUGCCUUCGGCUGGCUGCUUGGCCACCGGACUCUCUCUUGGUGUGACUCUGGCCAUGAAGGUUUGUGCAUGGCCAUUGGGCUGUGUGGGUACUGGGGUCCCUCCAGUGACCCCCGCGGGCAGUAUCCUGGGCUCUGCAAGAGCAAGCAUGUACAGUAGAGGUAUCUUUUACCUCUAAUCAAUCUACCUCCCUAUCUUCUGCAAGUAUUGACUAACUCUAAGGGCAGCAGCAGUAAAAUAUUGGACAAGGGUUAGCUCCUGAGAGAACGUUAUGUCGUUAUGCUGUCUUUAGACGAAGACUGAAGACAGUAAUCAAAAGGGCUAUUUUUAACCAUGGGUUGAUUUAUUUGUUUUUCUUGUACAGCUAUUGCACCUGGAGCCACUGAUGAUGGCUUGAUUAAUUCUCAGUGAUUUUUUUUUCUCCACCUUCCUCCCCACGACUUUUCCGACUGGCAUAAAGUUGUGCUGUGGCAGGCACAGUCACUGGGUGAAGAUAAGUCCCCAGAGAAACUAACCACUUUCAGGUUGCAACUUUGAGCCUGCUCUGUGCCAAGCAUCAGGAGUGACUUUUUGUCUUCAAAGCUGGAGAGACAUUUCCCACCAGUGCAGAUGAAGGUGCCUCUUCCCUCCAAGGCCACAGAAGAGCAGAGGGCAGACAGUGAGCUAAGGUCUGUUCUCACUCCUGAAGGUAAAAAGCUGCUCGUUUUUGUCUAUCUGCACAUGUUCCUUAAAAUCUCAUCUUGAGGGAUCUGAUCUGAAGUACUUGAGUAAAUGGUAGAUAGGCACCACGGAAAGGAGCUCAAGGGCAGCUGCAGGAAGCCCUAGGUGUAAAUACAAGUGAGGAGGAAAAAGAAGGACAGUCUAUUUCAAAGUGACAGAAGCUCUACAGGACUUCCUAUAAAGAAAAUACAUGUUCGCUAUCCUCAUUUUUAUUUUGUAGCUCUUGUUUCCACCUCGAUUUGGUCAAGUAGAGGUUUACUUCCAAAGUAGCUGUACAGCUAUUCCCUUGUUCCUUCCCCCAGCCUGAGUCCUGCUGCCUGUGGACAGUGUGGUUGUUGGCACGUCUAAAAUGCUUCGUUCAUGCCUCUUCCCACAAGUAACACUCGGAGCAAUAUCACCCUGUGGCCAUGUGGGUUAAAUUUGGAACAUCACCACAUGUGCCCUUAUUUUAGUUUCCAGACAGGCUGUGCAGGUACUAUGUGUACUUUUGAGGUGCAAGCCUAUAAAGAGAAUGCAGCAGAAGCCACUAACCCUGGAUCAUCUGUAAAUAAGGAAAACUAUAGUGUGUCUUUUUUUUUUCUUUUAACAUAUAUAUUCUUUUGGGAGGAAGUUUAUCUAUAAAUUGAGAACAUUAGGGGUGUUUGCCUGACUACAGAUACACCUGGCAGUUUUGUUGUGAUGGAGCAUAGAUUGCACCACGAGUUCUGAAGAGGCUGCUCUUUAAAGAGGUAAAAUACAAAACAACAGGCACAUCCGUAUAAUAGAUCAUCAUUUAAGGUAACACAUUCUGCCUGACAUGUAGUGCUUUGCACAUUUUGAAUUGUCUCCUGCCAAAAUAUUCAGGCCUGCAGGGGGAACCCCUGUUGGGAACACAGGACAGAUGGAUCUGAAUCCAGUCAUGAAACUCCCUGGGGCCAGCAGUGUGAUGUUAAUGAUCACACCACAGUAAGAUGUAAAACAUACCUUUGUGCAGCUCAGUGUAAACAGCAACUCCGGUAUUAUGAUGUAAAUGAGAAACCAGCAAGGGAUGAUGUGUGAAUGGAAACACAGCAAGGUGCUCUGUGAGGGAGCAGAAAGUACAGUGCAAGGGGAAAAUCUGCACAUUGCAACUGGAGGUGGAAUUAAAAUGUGGACUCACUUCAUUGUAGAGAUAAACUUUAAAUACUGCUUGGGCUGGUGGAGAAGGGAGGGAACUCUCAGAGUUCCUCUAUGAGUACCUAAUCCCAGCUGAGGUUCUGGAAGGGCAAGGGACAGGUUACAAUUAAGUUUAGGUUCCUGCACUUGCCAAUUAAGAGCUAGAGGAUGGGGCUGGGACCAAAUGGAAGAUAAAAGCCAUGAAUUAGCCUUAUCCCAACAAAAAUGUGGAAGUCAUCAGCCUGCCCUCCUGCUCAAAGCAGGGCCAGCUUUGAAAUUAGGUGGUGUUGGUUAGGACUUUGACCAGCUCAGGUGUCUCCAAGGAUGGACGUACCCUCCUGGGAGGCUUGUUCCUGUGUUUGGCCACCUCCAUUGGGAAAACAUUUCCUGUAGCAUUAAAUAGGUCUGAAAUGACUCCAUGGAUGACAGGACUGAAAACUGGAAACUUGACAAUGAGCAAGCAUUAAUGUGGUUUGUGGGGAGGUAUCCAAAGGUACAAAAGGUCCAGUUGGGUCCUCAGCUUUAUUUCAGAAAUCCACGCUGCCCCUUUGAAGCCCCUUCCCAGUGAGGACAGUGGCAGCUUGCCUGUGAGACAGGGUUUCCAUUGGGCCCUUGUAAAGCAAGGCCCAGUCAGAAAGUGUGGUGUCACCAAUGUAAUUUAAAAAUGUGCUGGGCAGCAGGAGCGGAGCUGUGUCUGCUGCUGAUUUUAUUGUAACGGUGAUGUUCCUCUUUGUCCCAGAGUUCCCCGUCCUCUUCCUCUCAUCUCUCGCAAAGAAGUGAAGGGCUUGCUGGGAAGCUGAGCUUGAAGCUAGAGGAGGUCAUACUUAACUAACCUCCUGGAGUUCUUUGAAGAUAUUACUGCCAGGCUAGAUAAGGGGAAUUCAGCAGUGUGCUUAGAGUUUCAAAGCGCGUUUCACAAAGUUCCACAUCAGAGAUUAAUAGCUAAGGCAAAAGGUAAAGGAAGAGGAGGUAAUAGAGGCUGUUGGAUCAAAACCAGCUCAAGGGCAGGUAUGAGACAAUAAGCACAGAUGAAAAAUUUUCAAGCUGGCAGAAGGCUGUUCUUGGGACUGUUUCAGGACUUCUGUAACGCAUAAUCCAGACAGCACAAAGGUGCCCCACCAUGCUCAUGUCGCUGAGGCAGCCCAGGUUUGGCACCACCAGCAGCAAAACAUCCUAGCUGUCCCCCUUCUGCCUGCCCAGCCAGGAGCCCUUUCACGUCUCUCUUGGGUGGGGGCAGUUUUUGGCACAAGUCUGCAGUCACUGGUGUCCCUGGGGCCAUGCCGUGCCAUCACGCUUCAGAGAAGCCAGUGUAUGUAUUCUUUAGGCUUUGAAAAUAGCGAGCCGGCCCCUCAGCAGCAUGGUGCAGCUGUGAAGUUACUCUGGCUUUGCAAAGGGAAGACAGAAUUUAGUUUGAGGUCUCUCCAAAACCAGGCACAACCUGAGCAGAUUCGCCAGCGCCGAGAUCUCUCCGGUGACUCUGCCAACAAAUGGCAAGACGGAGUUCAAUGCAGACAAAUGUAAUUAAUCUGCAAGCAGGGAAUCAGACAGGGGAAUAAGUGGUAAACAGAGCAAGCGUUCAGCAGAGGGAUUAAGAGAGGGAUUUGGUGGUGUUGGAGGUUCGUUUCUUUUGGAAAAAUCAUUGGAAGUGUCUGCCUAGAUCACAGCUGUAGUAAAAGGGCAAGCAGGUGACACGGCUGCGUUAGUAGAGGGACAGGAUAUAAAACAAACGAGGCAAUAUGUCUGUUACUGUAAAAGGCAUCAGAUCUCACCUGAGUAUUGUCAGCAGUGUUGGCCACUGCCAUGGUGUGCUGCAGUGUACGGCAACAAAGAGCAGCCCUGCAGAAUCCGCGUGUGAACAAAGGCGAGAGCGCCGGGUUUGUCCUCGGCAGGUUCCUGCCCACCCCGUCCAUUCAUCAUCUGAAGAGGAAAUCUGAGGAGCAAAAAGACUAUCCCUCUAAGCUCUAACAGAGGUUAGGAAUUUUGAAGUCGGCUGUAUUUUUCCCCAGAGUAUUUCUCUGUCUGGGUCUUUUUCUUGCUUUCUUCCCUCUACCUCUCCUUUCUCUUUUCAUUGUUCCCCUUUCAUUCCCUCUCUCCCUCCUACCACCAGUCUGGGUUUCUUUGUCUUUCCCUAAUAUAUUGCUUCUCCUCCACCCCUGCCCAGGAACUGAGACGAUUUAGUCACCUUGCUUCUUCAGACUCUUGAAGGAGCCCAGCCUCUGAUGAGGGGUUGCUACUUUGAGUUUUACAUGCUGUGUGGCAGGGUGAACAAUACUUUUUUGCCCAUAGAUUUGGAUGGAAAGAAAUCUAAGUUGUUGCUGUGGAAAAGGAGAAACUCAACAACCAAACUGAAGGCAGGACGUGGAAUAUUACUCAAAAUGACCAUCAAAACCCUUAGAUGUGGCUUUCCUUCCACACUCAGAAGAGUUCACAAUAGUACAGCUGGUUCUAAUCAUGCAAAUUCCACACCAGAAGUCUUCCUUUGUUUUCACUGGUGUAAAUUCAGAGCAAGUUCAGCAAGUUGCUCUGAAUUUACCCAGCUAUGGAGGACAGCUGAUUUCGUUUGAGCUGUACAAGAGACAAUCUUAUUUUUGCUUUCCCUAGGAUUACGGUAAGCUUGUCAAUCAAUGCCCAGAGGCAGUCUACACGACACAGUUGUGCCAGAUUAGGAAUGUCAACUGUCUCAUUUGCACAUGGAAAGACGCGGAGGGGGAUACUUGCACACAAAUAAGUAGCUGGUGAUGGCGCUGGUUACAAGCGAUCGUGGACUGAAGACUGCUGCCAGAAAAUUCAGAGCUCUUUUUGGAAAAGGUGGCUCAAAGCACAGCGAUGGAAGAACGAUGGUGUGCACCAGCAGUUAAGAACAACAGCUUUUGCUCCCUUGCACUCCAUACAAAACAGCAGCAGCAGCCCCGCAGCAUGUCUACAUGCCGAAGGUCCGUGCCUGCUCCUGGGAGUUACCUGAUGAAUAACUCCAUUUUCCAGCUGCUCGGCUCCAGAAGAAAGUGAUCUCCUCCUAAGCAUCCGUUCCUCACAUUUCUGCAUGGCAGUUACCUGUGGGCUGAUUCCUGAUGCUCCUCCUCAGGGCCAAGGCUGGGACCAGCCUGCGCAGCGAGGCACCGAUCCUGCAGCUUGGGGUGGCGGCUGGGCAGCAGCGUGCUCUGCAGACAUCUGCAAUGCCCUGGCCGUACCCUGCAAGGCACGCAGAUACACAGACACCCACGAUGAAGUCGCCAGGGCCCUGGGCAAACAUCAGGUACACCCGGACACAGGCGGCAAUAGCAGACAAGUUCUUAAAAAAAGUCCUGUCACUCCCACCGUUUUGCUGGGAUGAAUGAAGCCAGUGCCCAGUUCAGGCAUGGAGAAAGUGUCCAUGGGCUUCAUGGUCGGAGCAGCAAGAGCCCACCAUCGCUGUGACCAUCAAUAAACCUUCAUGAAUUAACCUGUUGAGAGGAGGGAUGGGAGAAUCUUACAUUGCAGCUGUAAGAUUAAAUGCUGCUGUUGAACCCUGGACAAUUUCCUGCCACUAAUCUUUUGGUCUGACUAAUAUAGCUAGAUAUAUUACUCAAACCUUUCAGUGAUGGAAAUCAUACCUGGAUCUGGUAAGCAGAGAGAGCAGACCUAUGUCAUCCAUGGAUAUGUGGCUGGGGAGAGUGCAGCUGGCCUGCAGUGGCUAAACCUUUUAAUUCUACCUGGGGGAAUCUGAUUGAGCAAGGGAAAGGCGUAAGUCAUCCACACCUGCUUCAGAGUGGCAGCUGCACUGGAGGGCUAUCUUACAAGGCGACCUGCUCUGAAGAUGGGGAAAGUGCCGAGCCAGGAGGAGGUGUGCAGAGGAGGACGUGGUGGUUAAAGCACAAACGCUUCACUCAUACCUUAACCGGCGCUAUCUCCUGAAAUAAGAGGGCUGCAGUUUCCCAGCGCAGCGAUGACCUGACCCCGGGGAUGCUCUUGGCAGGGCACCAGAGCUCACACAGCACCCGGUGCUGAGCAGCGCCCGCAGAGCUGCCUCCACCACAUCGCUGCUGCCACACUCUUCUGGGGAGCACUGCGAAGACAAAGCUGGAGAGCACUCUGUCCUUGCUUAUGGGCUGCAAACUGCACCAUCAGGAGCAAAGUACUAUGUCCUCAGUAACUACCCACUUAGAUGUGCAUGAAGUGGAGCAGCCAUCUACUAGGACCAUGUCUUGGAUUUUGCAGCCAGCAAAUAUUCAUCUGUGGGGCAUAAGGUCCCCCUCUGGGGCAGGACACAUGUGCUGUCAGUGACCACCGAUGCAGCCAGGAGCCAGGCCUGCCUACGGAGAGCUGGUCAUUUAAACAAGCAUCACUAGGUCCUGGGGGACCUCUGGAAAUGUGGGCUGUCCUUUUCCUGGCCACCCCAGAGAAGACGAGGUGCUGUGAUGAAGAAGAUGUGCUGUGACGCUGAAUGAGCCAUGGGAUCCCGCCGGCUGUACGCGAGACCUGAACUCAGUCUCUUCUGACUUCAACAGCCACCACCAUGGGUUCAAGCUGGUGUAAGAUGAUCAGAAUCACUGAUCGUGAAAGACAACGGAAAUAGAUGAAAUAUCUCGGAAACAGAACAGCUAAAGUAAAGCUACCAAGAGGCAGGCGGGAACACAACACUGUAGAGAGGGCGGCUACUCUGUAAGUCAGGCAGAAACACUUCGUGUUCAGGAGCAAGGAAGUUUCAAUAGUAAAAAGGAGCAUAACUGAGCUUUUAGCCUAUACAUAUAGGCUACAAAAUAUCAAGUGAUAUCUCUAAAAUAUGUCACUGCAUCUAGUGAAAUAUAUAUAUAAGUACAUAUACAUAUUUCUCUCUCUAUAUAUGUCUAUAUCAUUAGACAAUACAGAAUGCCUGUAUGCAUUGCAGUGCCCCAUGGUCUGGCUAUGUCACGGAAGUACAGAAGUAUUAGAAAUAGACAAAUUGAGCCCUCCCAACAUUAACAAGACUGGUUUGUGUUGCACCAAUAAAACAGUACGUAAAGCUGGAAGAUGCCAUAAGGACAGGGGACUGGUUUCUCACCUGCUUCCCCUCUGCCUCACACCCACUGCUCUCUGCUGGGGUCAGGGAGGUGCUGCGGGAGGCAGAGGCCCUUUGCACGGACACCUUGGUCCCUGGGCCUGCCCACAUGUACAGCAUUUCCACACUUGGCUCAAAAUAACAAAUUAAUUUUCUUUGGUGACCUGUGAAAUAUUUUUCCUUUCUUAAAAGUUCAAGUCGCUGGUCUAUUGCAGAUGAGUUAACCUUGUGAAAAACGAUACGCUGACAGCACAGUCAGAAGUGACACUGACUUCAGGGAACUGUUGCUACUUUCUGUCAUGCCUUCAUUGCUUGCAAGGAGACAAAAGAUGCAAAUAGGACUACACACAAACCACAGAGGAACACAUUAAUAAUCCUACCACCACUCAACACUGGUAAGAGCAUUUCCUCUUUAAGGCUACUGCAUCAUUUCUCCUGUGCUAUGAAGUAAUGAUCACAUACUUUUGUUGCAAAUCCACAUCCAAAUCCACACAUAUGUGGGCAAACACAUGUGAGUGUGCCUCAAUACUGUGUGUAGUGGAGUUUCUCCUGAACUGAAAGCAAAGAAGCCUAGUAAUACCUAAAUCAGAAUCAUUUACUGGCCCCAUUUCUUUCAGUAUUUUAAACUGCACUCCCAAAAUUAGUCAUUGGAUUUAGACAGCAUUAAAUACUGAUAAAAAUGCAAUGAAAAUAUUUCUUCCAAAGUACCUAAAAACUUGUCAGAGGGUCUAAACUAUUAUAAUGGAAGAACAUCAUAAAAUCUGUGGAAUUCAAAAUGCAUAGAAAAUAAGGUCCAGAUUCAAUUUUCUCAGAUUUUGUUUCUUUAGGAGGAACAAGAUCUUGACCUUUAUUCUUCAAAAAAAUGCACACCACUGAAAUCAACAGACCUGCCCUAUCUUUCAAAGGAGGUCAUCGUGACACAGUAUAUUAAUGGAAGCUAUUUAAAUAAUUAAAGGUCUGAAGACCAUAUAAGAAAAAUUGAAGUGAAGCUAUAAGAAGCAAGCUGGGAAGGUUACCACCAACAAUAUCAUCAAAAAAGCUGUAAGCUAAACCAGAAUGGCAAUAAAAUAAAAUAAAAUAGCACAAAUAUUAGGCCAAACCUAGCUAUCCAAACUCAGCGUGAGCUGUUUACAUUGUUAGUUUGCUAGAAUGGGAAGUGUGCUUUGCCCUUCCAAAGGAGCCAGUGGAGCACAGCUGCAACCAGUGAACAACAGGAACACAGCCCAUAUGGGAUGCAACGUCUCAGGCUUUCCCUUUGAGCCCUGCUCUCAUGGACAAAGGUUUCUCAACAUGCAUCUCAUGGCUACACAUAGUCACUGCAGUCAACGCAGGACAUUCUGCCUGCACGUUGUCAAAUACUUCACUUAAGACCUGCUACAGCUCUUGACAUGGAGGUUAAGUGCUAUGUAAAUGCCUCACUCCAGCACUUAGGACUUUGCUGCCCUCACAUCUUGUACUGAUAGAGCUCCCAAAUGCUUGUGUGUAGCCCUCUGCUUGCAUGCUCCCUUCACUGCUGAGCUAUGGAUAUUGCUCCAAACCUCCUGAAGCAUGGGACACAAAUGACAGCCUUGUCAGCUCUGGCAAUGUUUUAUGAAGCUUGGUGUCCUUCUUAAAGCCCAGCUGCAGACCGAGAGAUUACAUCAGAGUCUCAGCCUCUCACUAUUAAAACCAAAUAUGUCAUUUCUGGCCCUCAGCAUGCUUGAAAAAUGCCUGAAAACAUGUCUUGAAAUCAGCUUCAAAGCUCAUUAUCUGUAAGGCAAUGAAGGAACCAAAAAAAAAUUAUUAAAAAAAAAAAAA